This 327-nucleotide ribosomal RNA is filed under the name uncultured bacterium. RNAcentral's name for it is "bacterial SSU rRNA". It matches the Rfam family "Bacterial small subunit ribosomal RNA", at positions 28 to 334 of the family's 1533-position model. The record is from RNAcentral.
GAUGAACGCUAGCUACAGGCUUAACACAUGCAAGUCGAACGAAGCGUCUUAAAGGAAGUUUUCGGAUGGAAUUUGGGAUGACUGAGUGGCGGACGGGUGAGUAACGCGUGGAUAACCUGCCGUCAUACAGGGGGAUAACAGCUAGAAAUGGCUGCUAAUACCGCAUAAGACGCACAGUGCCGCAUGGCAGUGUGUGAAAAACUCCGGUGGUAUGAGAUGGAUCCGCGUCUGAUUAGCCAGUUGGCGGGGUAACGGCCCACCAAAGCGACGAUCAGUAGCCGGCCUGAGAGGGCGACCGGCCACAUUGGGACUGGAGACACGGCCCAA